This 86-nucleotide small RNA is filed under the name Flavobacterium cauense R2A-7. RNAcentral's name for it is "Flavo-1 RNA". It matches the Rfam family "Flavo-1 RNA". The record is from RNAcentral. Lineage: Bacteria; Pseudomonadati; Bacteroidota; Flavobacteriia; Flavobacteriales; Flavobacteriaceae.
UCCUAGCCCUGAUGGGAGCGGUAUCCUUUUUGGUGGCUGAGGCUCUCGAAGCCACUAAAAAGAUAAAGCGUACAGCAGGAACAGAG